GAUGAACGCUGGCGGCGUGCCUAAUACAUGCAAGUCGAGCGAACGGACGAGAAGCUUGCUUCUCUGAUGUUAGCGUCGGACGGGUGAGUAACACGUGGAUAACCUACCUAUAAGACUGGGAUAACUUCGUGAAACCGGAGCUAAUACCGGAUAAUAUUUUGAACCGCAUGGUUCAAGAGUGAAAGACGUUCUUGCUGUCACUUAUAGAUGGAUCCGCGCUGCAUUAGCUAGUUGGUAAGGUAACGGCUUACCAAGGCAACGAUGCAUAGCCGACCUGAGAGGGUGAUCGGCCACACUGGAACUGAGACACGGUCCAGACUCCUACGGGAGGCAGCAGUAGGGAAUCUUCCGCAAUGGGCGAAAGCCUGACGGAGCAAAGCCGCGUGAGUGAUGAAGGUCUUCGGAUCGUAAAACUCUGUUAUUAGGGAAGAACAGAUGUGUAAGUAACUGUGCACAUCUUGACGGUACCUAAUCAGAAAGCCACGGCUAACUACGUG
Molecule: ribosomal RNA, 497 nt
Filed under: uncultured bacterium
Lineage: Bacteria
Description: partial 16S ribosomal RNA
Rfam family: Bacterial small subunit ribosomal RNA
Source: RNAcentral